GCUACACCUAGAGAUAGGUGGUUCCCUUCGGGGACGCAGAGACAGGUGGUGCAUGGCUGUCGUCAGCUCGUGUCGUGAGAUGUUGGGUUAAGUCCCGCAACGAGCGCAACCCUUGUCUUUAGUUGCCAUCAUUAAGUUGGGCACUCUAAAGAGACUGCCGGUGACAAACCGGAGGAAGGUGGGGAUGACGUCAAGUCAUCAUGCCCCUUAUGACCUGGGCUACACACGUGCUACAAUGGGCAGUACAACGAGAAGCGAACCCGCGAGGGCAAGCAGAUCUCUUAAAGCUGUUCUCAGUUCGGACUGCAGGCUGCAACUCGCCUGCACGAAGCUGGAAUCGCUAGUAAUCGCGGAUCAGCACGCCGCGGUGAAUACGUUCCCGGGCCUUGUACACACCGCCCGUCACACCAUGGAAGUCUGCAAUGCCCAAAGUCGGUGGGAUAACCUUUAUAGGAGUCAGCCGCCUAAGGCAGGGCAGAUGACUGGGGUGAAGUCGUAACAAGGUAGCCGUAGGAGAACCUGCGGCUGGAUCACCUCCUUUCUAAGGAA
RNAcentral lists this ribosomal RNA (549 nucleotides) under Lactobacillus delbrueckii subsp. bulgaricus. Its description in RNAcentral is "bacterial SSU rRNA". It matches the Rfam family "Bacterial small subunit ribosomal RNA", at positions 993 to 1533 of the family's 1533-position model. The record is from RNAcentral. Lineage: Bacteria; Bacillati; Bacillota; Bacilli; Lactobacillales; Lactobacillaceae.